RNAcentral lists this ribosomal RNA (398 nucleotides) under uncultured bacterium. RNAcentral describes it as "partial 16S ribosomal RNA". It matches the Rfam family "Bacterial small subunit ribosomal RNA", at positions 360 to 773 of the family's 1533-position model. The record is from RNAcentral.
AAUAUUGCACAAUGGAGGGAACUCUGAUGCAGCAACGCCGCGUGAGUGAAGAAGGUUUUCGGAUCGUAAAACUCUGUCAUUGGGGAAGAAUAAAUGACGGUACCCAAUGAGGAAGCCCCGGCUAACUACGUGCCAGCAGCCGCGGUAAUACAUAGGGGGCGAGCGUUAUCCGGAAUUAUUGGGCGUAAAGCGUGCGUAGGCGGCUUAUUAAGUCUGACGUGAAAUCCCACAGCUUAACUGUGGAGGGUCGUUGGAAACUGGUAGGCUUGAGUACAGUAGAGGUAAGUGGAAUUCCAAGUGGAGCGGUGGAAUGCGUAGAUAUUUGGAGGAACACCAGUGGCGAAGGCGGCUUACUGGGCUGGAACUGACGCUGAUGCACGAAAGCGUGGGGAGCAAAC